CUGUCCAGUGAUAAAUAUUUUAUUUAACGGCUGCAGUAUAAAUAACUGUACAAAGGUAGCAUAAUAAAUAGGUUUUUAAUUAAAAUCUAGAAUGAAAGAUUAAAUGAAAUAUAAACUGUCUCAAAAAAAUCAGUUAAAAUUAUUAUUUAAGUAAAAAAACUUAAAUAAAAAUAAAAGACGACAAGACCCUAUAGAAUUUUAUUAUUUAAUAUAUCAAAUUUAAUUAAUUAAAAUUAAUGAAAAUUAUAAAUAAUUUAUUUGGGGUAAAUUAAAAAUUCAAAAAAUUUUUUUUUAAAAAUACAUAAAUUCAUGAAACCUUUUUCCUAAAUUUUAUUAGAUUAAAAAACCAAAUUACCUUAGGGAUAACAGCAUAAUUUUUUUUGAAAGUUCUCAUUUAUAAAAAAGAUUAUGACCUCGAUGUUGAAUUAAGAUAAAACUAUAACGAAACAAUUAAUAAAUUUAAGUCUGUUCGACU
Molecule: ribosomal RNA, 475 nt
Filed under: Dolopsidea sp.
Lineage: Eukaryota; Metazoa; Arthropoda; Insecta; Hymenoptera; Braconidae
Description: partial 16S ribosomal RNA
Source: RNAcentral